AUGAUUUUAGGGAAAGAGACCAUCAGUUGGCGCCGAAGAAGCAAUACAUUCCAAGUCCUAGAAUGUAGAAUCUUUCAGGCAAAAGGAUCCCUAAAGGAUA
Molecule: non-coding RNA, 100 nt
Filed under: Petrocella atlantisensis
Lineage: Bacteria; Bacillati; Bacillota; Clostridia; Lachnospirales; Vallitaleaceae
Description: Glycine riboswitch aptamer
Rfam family: Glycine riboswitch aptamer
About the family: This family represents the bacterial glycine riboswitch. Glycine riboswitches usually consist of two metabolite-binding aptamers domains with similar structures in tandem.
Source: Rfam by way of RNAcentral